This 874-nucleotide ribosomal RNA is filed under the name Mammaliicoccus sciuri. RNAcentral's name for it is "bacterial SSU rRNA". It matches the Rfam family "Bacterial small subunit ribosomal RNA", at positions 65 to 916 of the family's 1533-position model. Lineage: Bacteria; Bacillati; Bacillota; Bacilli; Caryophanales; Staphylococcaceae. The record is from RNAcentral.
AGCGAACAGAUGAGAAGCUUGCUUCUCUGAUGUUAGCGGCGGACGGGUGAGUAACACGUGGGUAACCUACCUAUAAGACUGGGAUAACUCCGGGAAACCGGGGCUAAUACCGGAUAAUAUUUUGAACCGCAUGGUUCGAUAGUGAAAGACGGUUUCGGCUGUCACUUAUAGAUGGACCCGCGCCGUAUUAGCUAGUUGGUAAGGUAACGGCUUACCAAGGCGACGAUACGUAGCCGACCUGAGAGGGUGAUCGGCCACACUGGAACUGAGACACGGUCCAGACUCCUACGGGAGGCAGCAGUAGGGAAUCUUCCGCAAUGGGCGAAAGCCUGACGGAGCAACGCCGCGUGAGUGAUGAAGGUCUUCGGAUCGUAAAACUCUGUUGUUAGGGAAGAACAAAUUUGUUAGUAACUGAACAAGUCUUGACGGUACCUAACCAGAAAGCCACGGCUAACUACGUGCCAGCAGCCGCGGUAAUACGUAGGUGGCAAGCGUUAUCCGGAAUUAUUGGGCGUAAAGCGCGCGUAGGCGGUUUCUUAAGUCUGAUGUGAAAGCCCACGGCUCAACCGUGGAGGGUCAUUGGAAACUGGGAAACUUGAGUGCAGAAGAGGAGAGUGGAAUUCCAUGUGUAGCGGUGAAAUGCGCAGAGAUAUGGAGGAACACCAGUGGCGAAGGCGGCUCUCUGGUCUGUAACUGACGCUGAUGUGCGAAAGCGUGGGGGAUCAAACAGGAUUAGAUACCCUGGGUAGUCCACGCCGUAAACGAUGAGUGCUAAGUGUUAGGGGGUUUCCGCCCCUUAUGCUGCAGCUAACGCAUUAAGCACUCCGCCUGGGGGAGUACGACCGCCGGGUGGGAAUCUCAAAGGAAUUGACGG